GACGAACGCUGGCGGCGUGCUUGACACAUGCAAGUCGAACGGAAAGGCCCCCUUGUGGGGUACUCGAGUGGCGAACGGGUGAGUAACACGUGAGUAACCUACCCUUGACUUUGGGAUAACUUCAGGAAACUGGGGCUAAUACCGGAUCGGAGCUCCUGCUGCAUGGUGGGGGUUGGAACGUUUCGGCGGUUGGGGAUGGGCUCGCGGCUUAUCAGCUUGUUGGUGGGGUAGUGGCUCACCAAGGCUUUGCCGGGUAGCCGGCCUGAGAGGGUGACCGGCCACAUUGGGACUGAGAUACGGCCCAGACUCCUACGGGAGGCAGCAGUGGGGAAUAUUGCACAAUGGGCGGAAGCCUGAUGCAGCAACGCCGCGUGCGGGAUGACGGCCUUCGGGUUGUAAACCGCUUUCGCCUGUGACGAAGCGUGAGUGACGGUAAUGGGUAAAGAAGCACCGGCUAACUACGUG
Molecule: ribosomal RNA, 465 nt
Filed under: uncultured bacterium
Lineage: Bacteria
Description: partial 16S ribosomal RNA
Rfam family: Bacterial small subunit ribosomal RNA
Source: RNAcentral